GAUGAACGCUGGCGGCGUGCCUAAUACAUGCAAGUCGAGCGAACGGACGAGAAGCUUGCUUCUCUGAUGUUAGCGGCGGACGGGUGAGUAACACGUGGAUAACCUACCUAUAAGACUGGGAUAACUUCGGGAAACCGGAGCUAAUACCGGAUAAUAUUUUGAACCGCAUGGUUCAAAAGUGAAAGACGGUCUUGCUGUCACUUAUAGAUGGAUCCGCGCUGCAUUAGCUAGUUGGUAAGGUAACGGCUUACCAAGGCAACGAUGCAUAGCCGACCUGAGAGGGUGAUCGGCCACACUGGAACUGAGACACGGUCCAGACUCCUAAGGGAGGCAGCAGUAGGGAAUCUUCCGCAAUGGGAGAAAGCCUGACGGAGCAACGACGCGUGAGUGAUGAAGGUCUUCGGAUCGUAAAACUCUGUUAUUAGGGAAGAACAUAUGUGUAAGUAACUGUGCAAAUCUUGACGGUACCUAAUCAGAAAGCCACGGCUAACUACGUG
Molecule: ribosomal RNA, 497 nt
Filed under: uncultured bacterium
Lineage: Bacteria
Description: partial 16S ribosomal RNA
Rfam family: Bacterial small subunit ribosomal RNA
Source: RNAcentral